This is a long non-coding RNA of Culex quinquefasciatus (southern house mosquito), 792 nucleotides long. RefSeq lists it as uncharacterized. The transcript has 2 exons. The record is from RefSeq and is a predicted model, not a curated record. NCBI's taxonomy places the organism in Eukaryota, Metazoa, Arthropoda, Insecta, Diptera, Culicidae.
UUUUGCGUGACGCCCGACGAAUCUGGCGAAAAUCUGGCGGGAUAACUCACAGCUGUCUGGCACAAAAACCAAUCGGUUCAAUCGGUUGAACCGUGCACGACCGGUUUGUUGCAUAUUCGCCAGAAUUCUGGCAACAUUCUUGGGCCAGUCGGGGGGAAAAUCUGCCAGACGUCUUGCGCAGCUAAGUGCAGCGCCCAAUACAAAACGCCCGCCAGGCGCUCCCCUUUUCCGUCUGGGUUGUUGAACAUGUUCUAGCUGUCAAAACUGUGUAAAUUUUCAACACAGAUCUGUGUAAAAAGUUACACAGAUUUUCGAUCAGCUUCCCUUUUAAAUCUGGGUAAAAAAGUGUUGGCAUUUUUUCAGCAGUCAGAGCAACCAGCAGUUAGCAAAGAUGGCGGAUAGCGGACCUAUUGCACUGGAAUCGUUGCCGUAUCCUAGGAAUUGUUAGUUGGUCAAGAGUCGGCGGAUGAUGGUAAGAAAAUUAUACUUUAUAUUCACUUACCCUAACCUAACUUUAUAUUUUUGCAUAGCGUUGAUUGAAUGAAUGAUGUCAAUGAAGCCAAAUUCCUGCGUCCGAAAGCCUAGAUGUGCAGGCCCUGAAGUGGAACGCUCUGCCAGGAACGUAUACAUCAUCGCUCCAAGAAAACUAGAUCACUUUCCGGGACCAAACUAGCUCCAACAUCGUCCAAUAUGAUAUCUACCGAAAGAUGUAAAAUAAUUCAGCGACAGACACUGUUGAACAUCAAUAAACAUCAAUCUUGUUUUAUUUUGAUUUAAUUAAAGUAUUUAAAA